GGGCUCCGGGCGGCCGUGACCCUGCUGGAGUCCCGGGGGGGACCUCCAGCCCCCCGGGGGGGUCCCUGCGCCUCCUCUGCCGCGCCUCGGGGUUCACUUUCGGCAGUUUCAACAUGGAUUGGGUCCGCCAGAGACCCGGGCAGGCGCUGGAAUUCAUGGCAGAGAUCCGGGAAAACGGUGCCAGUGCUUGGUACGCGCCGUCGGUGCGGGGGCCGGUUCGGGAUCUCCCGGGACAAACCGGGCAGAGCUCGGUGACGCUGACCAUGAACGGCCUCAAGGACGAGGAUUCCGGCUCCUAUUUCUGUGCCAAAUCCUCCGGCGCCGGCGCCGGGUGUUGUUUCGCUGCUGAUUAUGUUGGCGGUGCCGGAGGUGUCCCCACCCCCACCUUUGUGUCCCCCCCUGUCCCCCGGUUCCCCGACGCCGAAAUCCAGGGCUGA
This is a non-coding RNA of Vidua macroura (Pin-tailed whydah), 437 nucleotides long. The record is from the annotation of a RefSeq genome assembly. NCBI's taxonomy places the organism in Eukaryota, Metazoa, Chordata, Aves, Passeriformes, Viduidae.